This 236-nucleotide unclassified non-coding RNA is filed under the name uncultured Basidiomycota. Its description in RNAcentral is "sequence contains ITS1". Lineage: Eukaryota; Fungi; Basidiomycota. The record is from RNAcentral.
UUGAAUUUUUGCUGGGGAUUGUAGCUGGUCCGAUGGUUGGACAUGUGCACGUCUCUUGCUGUUUUGUUUUAUAUCCACCUGUGCAUGAAUUGUAGACACCCUAGGAUUUUAGAGAGACCACUUUGAUUAAGAAGGAAAAAAAGGGGGCUCUUGUUCAAGGUCUAGGUUGUCUAUGUAAUUUUUGUAUACAUAAUAUGUGGUUUGAAUGUCUUAUAUAUAUAUAAUAAUAAAAAGUA